Molecule: ribosomal RNA, 253 nt
Filed under: uncultured bacterium
Lineage: Bacteria
Description: partial 16S ribosomal RNA
Rfam family: Bacterial small subunit ribosomal RNA
Source: RNAcentral
UACAGAGGUCUCAAGCGUUGUUCGGAUUCAUUGGGCGUAAAGGGCGCGUAGGCGGCCUGUUAAGUCGAACGUGAAAUCCCCGGGCUCAACCCGGGAACUGCGUCUGAUACUGGGUGGCUUGAAUCCGGGAGAGGGAUGCGGAAUUCCAGGUGUAGCGGUGAAAUGCGUAGAUAUCUGGAGGAACACCGGUGGCGAAGGCGGCAUCCUGGACCGGUAUUGACGCUGAGGCGCGAAAGCCAGGGGAGCAAACGGG